CCCUAAUCGAAGCUCAGCACAUUCGGUAAAGUCUUUGGAUAAGAAUCUGAUGUUGAGUUGCUGGUCUGAUAUGGAUGUUUGUGGGGACAAUGCUACGGUAACACAAAAAUGUGCAUUUAUAGUGCUGCCAGGAGGGCUGGUGGAGAACACAUAGUUUUAACUCCGGAGCAGGGGUGGCACAGGGACAACUUCUGUUUAGACUUCUAUUGCAAUGUCAAGAAUUACAAAGCAUGGCCAGACGGUGGUGGAGUACCCCUUUAAUCCCAGCACUCGGGAGGCAGAGGCAGGUGGAUCUCUGUGAGUUCGAGACCAGCCUGGUCUACAAGAGCUAGUUCCAGGACAGCCUCCAAAGCCACAGAGAAACCCUGUCUCGAAAAACAAAACAAAACAAAGCAAAAAUCCAAACCAAAACAAAAAAGAAUAACAAAGCAGACUCCCUCUCCCAUUAAAAAGGGAUGGGAAGAACCGCCAGCCUGUUUAUCUUCUUGAACUCGGUGCCAGCAGGAAGGACUCUCGAAGCUCGUUUGCUCGUUUUUCUUUUCAUUCAAGAAAUCUACAAUUAAGGUCUGGCAGAUACAUCACUGGGAGCAGACUGAACCUAUGAGCACCUGCCUCAUGCAUGUGCACACCUCGGUACCUGAUGGGGGAUGUCCUUCUGUAUAUAUGUUUUUCUUAUUGGUUGAUGAAUAAAACACUGUUUGGCCAAUAGAGGCAGGAAGAUAGGCGGGACUAGGAGACGUGGAGAAUUCUGGGAAAGGUAGGAAGAGAGGUGCCGCAGAGGGACGCCAUGUAGUGGAGGAAGGAGUAACAGGUCCAGACCCUUCUCCGGUAAAAUAAGACCAUGUGGAAAUACUUAGAUUAAUAGAAAUGGGUUAAUAAUUAAGACAGAUCUAGCCAAUAAGAAACCCUAACCAUUGGCCACAGUUUUAUAACUAAUAUAGCAUCUUUGUGUGUUCAUUUGGGGCUGAAGUGGCAGGACCUGGUGGGACAAGAAAACUUCAGUUACAAGUACAUGCCUUGCUUGCCUCCGUAUUCUGAGAAGGGCACCCACAGUGCUAACUUACAUAUAGCCCGGAUUUGCCCAUCACAUGAUUAGCUCAGUUAGACAUAUUGGUGUCUAGCUCAGCACCAAGCCUGUGCUGUAUUAGACAGUGUUUUAGCUUUUUGUUUUUGUUUUCCUGUUACUGAAAGACCCCUGCCCCUUAGCCCUUUCUUUCUCAAGUUUGUCUCCUCUUCCUCCUGUCGGCGGCUUCCCCGAUCCCCACCCCCGGCGGCUUCCACUUCCCCCGCCACCCGCCGCACGCCCAGCCCGAGAACGAGCACCAGGUGGGCCGGCACGAGGGCGAGCACCAGGUGGGCCGGCACGAGAACAAACACCAAGUGAGCCGGCCUGGAGCCCUGCCCCUGAGCCCCCGCCCGAUGAGAAACACUCCGUCCCAAGGUCUCCGCCCCCAAGGUCAGCC
This 1463-nucleotide long non-coding RNA is filed under the name Cricetulus griseus (Chinese hamster). Its description in RNAcentral is "lncRNA (ENSCGRG00015032691.1)". The record is from RNAcentral. Lineage: Eukaryota; Metazoa; Chordata; Mammalia; Rodentia; Cricetidae.